Molecule: unclassified non-coding RNA, 282 nt
Filed under: Hevea brasiliensis (rubber tree)
Lineage: Eukaryota; Viridiplantae; Streptophyta; Magnoliopsida; Malpighiales; Euphorbiaceae
Source: RNAcentral
GUUUCACUUCCUCUUUCAAAAAAAAAUCAAAAUUUGAUCAAAAAACCCACCUUUCACUCUUACUCUCACUCCUUUUCUUGCCAAAUUCUCCACUCCGUUUCCCGUAAUCACUCCACAUUUUUACGAAAUUCGGACAAUUUUCACAUUCAAGAUUGUUGUCUACUUUCACUUAAAUAGAGAAUAAACAUGCACUCUCUGGUACAUAAUUAUCCAUAACAUUCCUUUUCGAUCAGUGGGUGUGGGUUGUUAUGGAUGUUCACGUGAUUGAUGAAGAGGAGGGGG